This 322-nucleotide ribosomal RNA is filed under the name uncultured eukaryote. Its description in RNAcentral is "partial 18S ribosomal RNA". It matches the Rfam family "Eukaryotic small subunit ribosomal RNA", at positions 1470 to 1796 of the family's 1831-position model. The record is from RNAcentral.
CCCUUAGAUGUUCUGGGCCGCACGCGUGCUACACUGAGUGGAUCAGCGGGUCAGGUUGCGCGAAAGCGUUUCCUAAUCUUUAAAUCCGCUCGUGAUGGGGAUUGACGGUUGCAAUUUUCUGUCAUGAACGAGGAAUACCUUGUAAGCGCGGGUCAUCAUCCCGCGCUGAAUACGUCCCUGCCCUUUGUACACACCGCCCGUCGCUCCUACCGAUUGAGUGGUCCGGUGAAGCUUUGGGAUCUGAGCGGAAAGAGCGUUUCGCUGUUUCUGCUCGGAAAACUCAGUCGAACCUUAUCAUUUAGAGGAAGGAGAAGUCGUAACA